AUUAAAUUGCUCGUUUUAAUUAAUCCCCAUUUAAGAAUUAGAAGGAAGGAUCAGAGCACGCGUAGUCUAGUCUAUAUAAGGGCCAUCAGUGCGUGCUGUAUUGCUAUCUGAACUCAUCAUUCUUCUCCUUCUCCUUCUUCUUCUUCCUCCUCUCAUUAUUCGCUGUGCCAGCUAUGGUUAAUUGCCAAAGAUGAAAUUAAGCAGCUAGCCGGGAAUCGCCGGCGGCCUGACAUUGGGAUCGGAGGCCAUGGUGCAGCCAAGGAUGACUUGCCGAUCGAUCGAUCUAUCUAUGAAGCUAAGCUAGCUGGCCAUGGAUCCAUCCAUCAAUUGGCAAGUUGUUCUUGGCUACAUCUUGGCCCCUGCUCCUCAUGUAAGGCCGGCCUGUGGCGACGACGAUCGAAGGCGAGCGCUUCAGCUUUGUUAAUUAGCUCUUGUUCUUGGCCAAAUCCAACGCAAUUUUGCAAGCCUAAUCGCAGUGUAAGUUAAUUUGAUGAUCAGUUAGCUUAAUUAGUUAUAAUUUGCUGCCAUUCAUGCGUAUUUCAGAUCGAGCGUACUGUAUCAUGUUAAUUAGUAAUCAUGUUCUUCUAUAAUUUAACUUCAAUUUGAUAAGUACUACCUCCUCUAUAAAAAAGUCUA
This 636-nucleotide non-coding RNA is filed under the name Oryza sativa Indica Group (long-grained rice). Lineage: Eukaryota; Viridiplantae; Streptophyta; Magnoliopsida; Poales; Poaceae. The record is from RNAcentral.